UGUUGCUGUGUUCUUUAAACCCCUC
This 25-nucleotide non-coding RNA is filed under the name Mus musculus (house mouse). Lineage: Eukaryota; Metazoa; Chordata; Mammalia; Rodentia; Muridae. The record is from RNAcentral.